CCUACGGGAGGCAGCAGUGAGGAAUAUUGGUCAAUGGGCGCGAGCCUGAACCAGCCAAGUAGCGUGAAGGAUGACUGCCCUACGGGUUGUAAACUUCUUUUAUACAGGAAUAAAGUGCGGCACGUGUGCUUUUUUGUAUGUACUUUAUGAAUAAGGAUCGGCUAAAUCCGUGCCAGCAGCCGCGGUAAUACGGAGGGUGCGAGCGUUAAUCGGAAUUACUGGGUGUAAAGCGCUCGUAGGCGGUAUGUCAAGUCAAGGGUGAAAUCCCCGCGCUCAACGUGGGAACUGCCUUUGAAACUGGCAAACUGUAGUGUGGGAGAGGAUAGGGGAAUUCCAGGUGUAGGAGUGAAAUCCGUAGAUAUCUGGAGGAACAUCGGUGGCGAAGGCGACUAUCUGGCAGAUAACUGACGCUGAGGCGCGAAAGCGUGGGUAGCGAACAGGAUUAGAUACCCUGGUAGUC
Molecule: ribosomal RNA, 460 nt
Filed under: uncultured bacterium
Lineage: Bacteria
Description: partial 16S ribosomal RNA
Rfam family: Bacterial small subunit ribosomal RNA
Source: RNAcentral